GCGUCCUUCGGGGGAGCGACGGGCCCGGCGGAGACGCGGCCGCCCCUUCGGAGGAGACCGGCACCCAGCGCCGCUCGGCUGCGACCUGCGCCCGGCACCGCGGGCACCUUCCCGCUCCAGACCUGACUGGAAGUUCACAGACUGGGAUAUAGAGGGAAGACGCAGGACAUCUCUGUGCAAGCAAGGAGAGAGCUUGUGCGACAUUCUGCAGCAAAGAUAAGAAACUCCCCAUUCGGCAUGAGCAGCGCAGGAGAGGAAGGUGGAGGGGGCUCCUUCUUGGCUAACCUCCCCUUUCCAGUUCCCCCGGUCUCCUCCCCUCUCCCCGGGACCAUCCGCCCUGCAUGGAGUCCUCAACGAGUGCACGCGGAAGACAAAAAAGAGCGGCUGAGAAAGGCAGCCCCCGUGAACACAAAAUCUGCCACGCCAGGCCACGUUUGCUGCCGUUUGUAGGCUGCUAGGUGCCAGGAAGCCAUUUUGAUGGAAUCAAGUGCUGUUUGUAAGAUGGCCGCAUUGGCAUGAGAUUCCUGUCAUUGGAGAAGGUAAAGAACAUGGGACACAUUGAUUUCACCAGAGCCAAAACUGCGCUUUGCAUCUGUCAGUUUACCAGCAACUCACUCUCUUGCUAAGAGCUCAAAGAAGAGGCUGCUUUCCACAACGGGCCUUGAGGGCUUCUGGAUUGCCUGUACAACCCUUGUGGGUUUCAGAGGGUGAGGGCUGGGGGGCAGCGAGCACCUUGGUUUUGUGUGCGUUGCAGAAGGUCUUUCCUGGGAUCCUUUUGUGCCUACUUUUCCUGCUGCUUGCACAGAAACCCCUGGUUGUAUCCCACCCCUCACCUCUCUCCUACUACAGGGGAGUAUUAUUAUUAUUGAGACAACAUCCUUGGACCCUAUGUGCAUCUGAUUUAUUUUGCUCUGUUGGCUGAUAGCCAGUUUGCUAAUUAAUGCAGGAGCCAAUGCUACCUUCUGCCUAGGUUUUUAAACUCUCUCCGGUCACAAGAGUCCUCCUCUUGGCAGAAUAAGCUGCAGAUGAAAUGUAUGAAGCAGCAAACAUCGCAGGCACACCGUAUUUUGAGGAAAAGACUGCAUGCCCCCUAGGUUACUUUGUUUUGAAAAUAGAUGUAUUCACCACAAGCUGGUUGUUUCAAUGUAGGCAGACACCCCAGCUCCUGUACAGCAGUCUUGGUAUCAAAAAGGCCUUUAUGCCUGUAAGAGAAACGUAGCAGCUGGAAUUCCCUCCCUUCAAGUGUUUCAAGCAAAACUGUUAAAAUAAAGGCUUCCCUUCCCAACAUGA
Molecule: long non-coding RNA, 1290 nt
Organism: Alligator mississippiensis (American alligator)
Lineage: Eukaryota; Metazoa; Chordata; Crocodylia; Alligatoridae
Exons: 4
Source: RefSeq, a predicted model, not a curated record